CUCGCCUACAUGAAGCUGGAGUUGCUAGUAAUCGCGAAUCAGCAUGUCGCGGUGAAUACGUUCCCGGGCCUUGUACACACCGCCCGUCACACCAUGAGAGUUGGCAAUACCCAACGUACGUGAUCUAACCCGCGAGGGAGGAAGCGUCCUAAGGUAGGGUCAGCGAUUGGGGUGAAGUCGUAACAAGGUACC
This 192-nucleotide ribosomal RNA is filed under the name uncultured bacterium. Its description in RNAcentral is "partial 16S ribosomal RNA". It matches the Rfam family "Bacterial small subunit ribosomal RNA", at positions 1311 to 1500 of the family's 1533-position model. The record is from RNAcentral.